GGCGGAGUAUCCGAAUGGCACAGGAAGCAGACUUAAAAUCUGUCGGCUUAAUCGCUUACGGGUUCGAAUCCCGUCUCCGCUA
This 82-nucleotide transfer RNA is filed under the name Caudoviricetes sp. Its description in RNAcentral is "tRNA-Leu". It matches the Rfam family "tRNA". Rfam says of the family: Transfer RNA (tRNA) molecules are approximately 80 nucleotides in length. Lineage: Duplodnaviria; Heunggongvirae; Uroviricota; Caudoviricetes. The record is from RNAcentral.